CCUCCCCACGACAUUUUACCGCUGACUUAAUCGCCCACCUAGUCGACGAUGGAUAGGGGUUCUGAGAGGAAGGUCCCCCACAUUGGAACUGAGACACGGUCCAAACUCCUACGGGAGGCAGCAGUGAGGAAUAUUGGUCAAUGGACGAGAGUCUGAACCAGCCAAGUAGCGUGAAGGAUGACUGCCCUAUGGGUUGUAAACUUCUUUUAUAAGGAAUAAAGUGCGCCACGUGUGGUGUUUUGUAUGUACCUUAUGAAUAAGCAGUCGGCUAAUUCCGUGCCAGCAGCCGCGGUAAUACGGAAGAUGCGAGCGUUAUCCGGUAUUUAGUUGGGGUUUAAAGGGAGCGGUAGGCGGGCGAUUAAGUCAGACGGUAAAAU
This 377-nucleotide ribosomal RNA is filed under the name uncultured Bacteroides sp. Its description in RNAcentral is "bacterial SSU rRNA". It matches the Rfam family "Bacterial small subunit ribosomal RNA", at positions 235 to 601 of the family's 1533-position model. Lineage: Bacteria; Pseudomonadati; Bacteroidota; Bacteroidia; Bacteroidales; Bacteroidaceae. The record is from RNAcentral.